This is a long non-coding RNA of Myodes glareolus (Bank vole), 292 nucleotides long. RefSeq lists it as uncharacterized. The record is from RefSeq and is a predicted model, not a curated record. Lineage: Eukaryota; Metazoa; Chordata; Mammalia; Rodentia; Cricetidae.
CCCCUCUCUCUUCUACAGAUGGGGAACUAAGCUCAGUGACCAUCCUAUUUGGUGAUCUAGAAGUGUGGGCUGAUGGUGCUGCUGUGCCCACUGGGUGGAUGCAUCCUGUGUCCAGUUUGACUCAAUGGAUAGCUGUCUCUGCAGGUCCUAAUGUCAUUCUCAGGGAAGAAGGAUUUCACACAUGUGCCACAGAGAAUGAGAGCAAUGAAUACCCCCACCAGCUGAAGUGACAUUUGUGUUGGCUGUUUACAAGGAAUAAAGGGUGGCCCGGGAUCUCGGGUGCUGAUGUGUC